RNAcentral lists this long non-coding RNA (4054 nucleotides) under Linum usitatissimum (flax). Its description in RNAcentral is "long non-coding RNA (LUSI_LNC008224)". Lineage: Eukaryota; Viridiplantae; Streptophyta; Magnoliopsida; Malpighiales; Linaceae. The record is from RNAcentral.
AUUUUUCUAACAAAGUUUAGCAUAAUCAUUGACAACCUUAUGUUAAAGAAACUAACUUUUUGCCACACGAAACACAAAAGGCAUUUCGGAAAAGCAAUCACAUGAAGGCAGUAGAGUUGUGCACCAAACUAUAUGGGAUAACAUCGAUGUAACAAAAAAUGAAAGACUUCUAUGCAGUAAAUGAUGGACGAUGUAAGCAUAAUCAUAGCUAACUUUUCAGAAGAUGAGAACAAAGGCAUUAGAGGCAAGAGAAGCAUAUCAAGUGAAGUUAUGGAAGAAAAUCAAUUGGAUGCAGGGCAUAGUAUACCUAUGCACCAAACUAAAAGGGAUAACAUUCAUUUAACGAAAGCUGAAAGACUAUAUGUGCAGUAAAACUCGUACUCAAACGAUGGAUGAUUCUAACUUACUAAGCAUGUCUGGAAUCAGAACACUCAAUUCAAACACGACCCUCAACUCGAUUAAGUAAUCACUUGCAACCUUGUAUUCAUCACCAACUUUUCGACACACAGAAAAAGAAGGAAUUUGGGAAAAGGUUUUGCAUAUCAACUAUCAAGUGACAGAUAUGGAAGCACCGAACGAAGAAGGAUAGCAUUUGCUGUAAUGAAACCUGAAAGACUUCCUAGCAACAAUGCUUACCAAAGCAUAUUUCGGAUCAAAACACUUGAUUCACACACGAUUCUCAUCUCAAUUAGGUACACAUAGGACAAGUCUGAACAGAACGGCAGGUUAGUCGAAGUCCCAAAACAGACUGCAACUAUCACCAAAGUGCAACUUAUAGAAUUCAAGACUUUUGAGAUCAGAUAAACAAAGUGCAACAUACAACUAGCAUAUCUGAUAAGUUUUGAAAAUGACUGCAAGUUAGGUGAGUCACAAGUACAUUCAUCUGCCAUCAAACAAAGCAAAUUGCAAGUCAAGGAAUCCAAGACAUUUGAGAUCAUAAAACUUAGCAGCAACCACAUCCCCACAGCCAACAAAAGAGGCCUUUUUCUUCUUCUUUUCAAAAACCCUAAUCAACAAAAUCCACCAAAGAAAAACACACCACUUCCAUACCGCACUCAUCAAAGUCUCAAGCUUUCCCCCAAACCCAAAACAAUCAAGACUCCACAGUCCAAACCAGCUGACACUGACAAACAGAAUCUCAUCACAUAGAGCAAACAAGCCAAGCAAUUGAAAGGUGGAAGUAAAAGGGACGGAGAGAGAAAGAGAGAGAGAGAGGGAAAGAGAGAAUUAGGGAUUGUUUACCAGCUUCCUGCCCUGAAGAGUUCUGGGGAGAAUUAUCUUGUGGAAGUAAGGCCUUGACGGCAUAAUUUCUUUUUGGUGUUAUUUCGGCGACUUUAUUGGGUGGGUUGUAAUUAUAGUGAUGGAGAAGUGAAGAAAGAUAGCGAGAGGGGGAAAUGGGUCAAUCAGAUCAUGAUGAUAAGACCACCAGCCCCAAUCUGAAAGAGAAAGGCGACAGAAAGAAAGAAAAGAGAAAGAUAUUGAAAGUUUUUGUCUCAGAUCUACAGCAGCUGCUCCAUCACCAAUAACUACUCUUCUUCCUCCUCCUCUCUCACUUUACAGAGUUACAGUCAAAGAACAGUGCUUUGCUACUGCUACUGCUACUGCUUUAAAAACCUUAACAAACGUUAGCUUGACCUAAAAAAAAGUAGUUGAACGAGUUGAGUUUUGCUUUCCCUGGCCUGGUUUUUGGUUUUUCCAAGCGACUCAGUUGGCUGACUCGGAUAUCAGAAUCCCUUGCAUAAAUUUAUUGAUUAAUUGAUUGAUGUCUUCUUGUGUUAUUUUCUUCUUCUUGGUGGGGGGGGGUUGCUUUUUGUUUUUAUUUUUUAAUCAUUUUCUUGUGUUUAUCCUCGUGACUUGCACGUGCAAUCUGGUACAACAGCCGGGUCGGACUUUGGUUGGACGGUUGACUCAAAUGCUAUGACAAAAUUCUGCGGGCCUCGGAUGCUACUUCAAGUCCGGGUACACUCUCUAUUUACACUGAUUCUGUCGAAUUAACAGGUUGCUCAACUCUUUGAAUGUUGCCUCCUUCUCACUGUCAUUCUACAAAAGCUGAAAGCCUAUAUGCACAGUAAAACCGGUACUCAAACGAUGGAUGAUUCUAACUUACUAAGCAUGUCUGGAAUCAGAACACUCAAUUCAAACACGACCCUCAACUCGAUUAAGUAAUCACUUGCAACCUUGUAUUCAUCACCAACUUUUCGACACACAGAAAAAGAAGGAAUUUGGGAAAAGGUUUUGCAUAUCAACUAUCACCAAAGGCAUAAGAGGAAGAGAAGCAUUUCAAGUGAAGUUAUGGAAGAAAAGCAAUCGGAUGCAGGGCAAAGUAUACCUAUGCACCAAACUAAAAGAGAUAACAUUCAUUUAACGAAAGCUGAAAGACUAUAUGCACAGUAAAACCGGUACUCAAACGAUGGAUGAUUCUAACUUACUAAGCAUGUCUGGAAUCAGAACACUCAAUUCAAACACGACCCUCAACUCGAUUAAGUAAUCACUUGCAACCUUGUAUUCAUCACCAACUUUUCGACACACAGAAAAAGAAGGAAUUUGGGAAAAGGUUUUGCAUAUCAACUAUCACCAAAGGCAUAAGAGGAAGAGAAGCAUUUCAAGUGAAGUUAUGGAAGAAAAGCAAUCGGAUGCAGGGCAAAGUAUACCUAUGCACCAAACUAAAAGAGAUAACAUUCAUUUAACGAAAGCUGAAAGACUAUAUGCACAGUAAAACCGGUACUCAAACGAUGGAUGAUUCUAACUUACUAAGCAUGUCUGGAAUCAGAACACUCAAUUCAAACACGACCCUCAACUCGAUUAAGUAAUCACUUGCAACCUUGUAUUCAUCACCAACUUUUCGACACACAGAAAAAGAAGGAAUUUGGGAAAAGGUUUUGCAUAUCAACUAUCAAGUGACAGAUAUGGAAGCACCGAACGAAGAAGGAUAGCAUUUGCUGUAAUGAAACCUGAAAGACUUCCUAGCAACAAUGCUUACCAAAGCAUAUUUCGGAUCAAAACACUUGAUUCACACACGAUUCUCAUCUCAAUUAGGUACACAUAGGACAAGUCUGAACAGAACGGCAGGUUAGUCGAAGUCCCAAAACAGACUGCAACUAUCACCAAAGUGCAACUUAUAGAAUUCAAGACUUUUGAGAUCAGAUAAACAAAGUGCAACAUACAACUAGCAUAUCUGAUAAGUUUUGAAAAUGACUGCAAGUUAGGUGAGUCACAAGUACAUUCAUCUGCCAUCAAACAAAGCAAAUUGCAAGUCAAGGAAUCCAAGACAUUUGAGAUCAUAAAACUUAGCAGCAACCACAUCCCCACAGCCAACAAAAGAGGCCUUUUUCUUCUUCUUUUCAAAAACCCUAAUCAACAAAAUCCACCAAAGAAAAACACACCACUUCCAUACCGCACUCAUCAAAGUCUCAAGCUUUCCCCCAAACCCAAAACAAUCAAGACUCCACAGUCCAAACCAGCUGACACUGACAAACAGAAUCUCAUCACAUAGAGCAAACAAGCCAAGCAAUUGAAAGGUGGAAGUAAAAGGGACGGAGAGAGAAAGAGAGAGAGAGAGGGAAAGAGAGAAUUAGGGAUUGUUUACCAGCUUCCUGCCCUGAAGAGUUCUGGGGAGAAUUAUCUUGUGGAAGUAAGGCCUUGACGGCAUAAUUUCUUUUUGGUGUUAUUUCGGCGACUUUAUUGGGUGGGUUGUAAUUAUAGUGAUGGAGAAGUGAAGAAAGAUAGCGAGAGGGGGAAAUGGGUCAAUCAGAUCAUGAUGAUAAGACCACCAGCCCCAAUCUGAAAGAGAAAGGCGACAGAAAGAAAGAAAAGAGAAAGAUAUUGAAAGUUUUUGUCUCAGAUCUACAGCAGCUGCUCCAUCACCAAUAACUACUCUUCUUCCUCCUCCUCUCUCACUUUACAGAGUUACAGUCAAAGAACAGUGCUUUGCUACUGCUACUGCUACUGCUUUAAAAACCUUAACAAACGUUAGCUUGACCUAAAAAAAAGUAGUUGAACGAGUUGAGUUUUGCUUUCCCUGGCCUGGUUUUUGGUUUUUCCAAGCGACUCAGUU